AGAAUAAUUCACAAUGGACGAAAGUCUGAUGGUGCAACGCUGCGUGGAGGAUGACGGUCUUCGGAUUGUAAACUCCUGUCAUCGGGGGGUAAGACCUGGCUGUGAAUAGCAGACAGGGUUGAUAGUACCCGAAGAGGAAGGGACGGCUAACUUCGUGCCAGCAGCCGCGGUAAUACGAAGGUCCCGAGCGUUGUUCGGAAUCACGGGGCGUAAAGGGGGCGUAGGCGGUUCGGUAAGUCAGGUGUGAAAUCCCGGGGCUCAACCCCGGAACUGCACCCGAUACUGCCGUGACUUGAGUAAUGGAGGGGUAGCUGGAAUUCUCGGUGUAGCAGUGAAAUGCGUGGAUAUCUAGAGGAACACUCGUGGCGAAGGCGAGCUACUGGACAUUUACUGACGCUGAGGCUCGAAGGCCGGGGUAGCG
RNAcentral lists this ribosomal RNA (421 nucleotides) under uncultured bacterium. RNAcentral describes it as "bacterial SSU rRNA". It matches the Rfam family "Bacterial small subunit ribosomal RNA", at positions 358 to 770 of the family's 1533-position model. The record is from RNAcentral.